RNAcentral lists this transfer RNA (52 nucleotides) under Escherichia coli 99.0848. Its description in RNAcentral is "partial tRNA-Lys". It matches the Rfam family "tRNA", at positions 1 to 50 of the family's 71-position model. Rfam says of the family: Transfer RNA (tRNA) molecules are approximately 80 nucleotides in length. Their secondary structure includes four short double-helical elements and three loops (D, anti-codon, and T loops). The record is from RNAcentral. Lineage: Bacteria; Pseudomonadati; Pseudomonadota; Gammaproteobacteria; Enterobacterales; Enterobacteriaceae.
GGGUCGUUAGCUCAGUUGGUAGAGCAGUUGACUUUUAAUCAAUUGGUCGCAG